UACGUAGGGCGCAAGCGUUAUCCGGAAUUAUUGGGCGUAAAGAGCUCGUAGGCGGUUUGUCGCGUCUGCUGUGAAAGACCGGGGCUCAACUCCGGUUCUGCAGUGGGUACGGGCAGACUAGAGUGCAGUAGGGGAGACUGGAAUUCCUGGUGUAGCGGUGAAAUGCGCAGAUAGCAGGAGGAACACCGAUGGCGAAGGCGGGUCUCUGGGCCGAUACUGACGCUGAGGAGCGAAAGCGUGGGGAGCGAACAGG
RNAcentral lists this ribosomal RNA (253 nucleotides) under uncultured bacterium. RNAcentral describes it as "partial 16S ribosomal RNA". It matches the Rfam family "Bacterial small subunit ribosomal RNA", at positions 524 to 776 of the family's 1533-position model. The record is from RNAcentral.